RNAcentral lists this long non-coding RNA (297 nucleotides) under Hordeum vulgare. RNAcentral's name for it is "long non-coding RNA (HVUL_LNC019345)". Lineage: Eukaryota; Viridiplantae; Streptophyta; Magnoliopsida; Poales; Poaceae. The record is from RNAcentral.
UUUAUUUUCCCGUAUAUAGGUGAUUAUCUCGCAUUAAUGUGUGGCAUUAUUUUGUGUUGCAAACCCCACAUAUUUUAUAUGUUUCCGGGGUAGAAAAAUCCCAUGGAUUUUUCUGUGCAAUUAGUUUUAGCUUUUGAGUAAGUUGGUUCGCGAGAUAUUUUGCUUUGUUGCCCUUUUGAUUAAUCCGUAGGAUUUAUUCCGUGCCCCGUUCGAAUUAGCUGUCAACUAGAGAGUUGAUCUUGGAUGUUUUGUUUAGUCCCUGGUAUUUUUAGUUGCAAUAGAACUGCAUGUUUAGGU